RNAcentral lists this ribosomal RNA (491 nucleotides) under uncultured bacterium. Its description in RNAcentral is "partial 16S ribosomal RNA". It matches the Rfam family "Bacterial small subunit ribosomal RNA", at positions 29 to 507 of the family's 1533-position model. The record is from RNAcentral.
AGUGAACGCUGGCGGUAGGCCUAACACAUGCAAGUCGAACGGCAGCACAGUAAGAGCUUGCUCUUACGGGUGGCGAGUGGCGGACGGGUGAGGAAUACAUCGGAAUCUACUUUUUCGUGGGGGAUAACGUAGGGAAACUUACGCUAAUACCGCAUACGACCUACGGGUGAAAGCAGGGGAUCUUCGGACCUUGCGCGAUUGAAUGAGCCGAUGUCGGAUAGCUAGUUGGCGGGGUAAAGGCCCACCAAGGCGACGAUCCGUAGCUGGUCUGAGAGGAUGAUCAGCCACACUGGAACUGAGACACGGUCCAGACUCCUACGGGAGGCAGCAGUGGGGAAUAUUGGACAAUGGGCGCAAGCCUGAUCCAGCCAUACCGCGUGGGUGAAGAAGGCCUUCGGGUUGUAAAGCCCUUUUGUUGGGAAAGAAAAGCAGCAGGUUAAUACCCCGCUGUUCCGACGGUACCCAAAGAAUAAGCACCGGCCAACUUCGUG